RNAcentral lists this ribosomal RNA (615 nucleotides) under Subulicystidium brachysporum. Its description in RNAcentral is "LSU rRNA". It matches the Rfam family "Eukaryotic large subunit ribosomal RNA", at positions 38 to 666 of the family's 3401-position model. The record is from RNAcentral. Lineage: Eukaryota; Fungi; Basidiomycota; Agaricomycetes; Trechisporales; Hydnodontaceae.
GCAUAUCAAUAAGCGGAGGAAAAGAAACUAACAAGGAUUCCCCUAGUAACUGCGAGUGAAGCGGGAAGAGCUCAAAUUUGAAAUCUGGCGGUUCCGCCGCCCGAGUUGUAAUCUGGAGAAGCGUUUUCCGUGCCGGACCGUGUACAAGUCCCUUGGAACAGGGCGUCAUAGAGGGUGAGAAUCCCGUCUUUGACACGGACUCCCGGUGCUCUGCGAUGCGCUCUCGAAGAGUCGAGUUGUUUGGGAAUGCAGCUCAAAAYGGGUGGUAAAUUCCAUCUAAAGCUAAAUAUUGGCGAGAGACCGAUAGCGAACAAGUACCGUGAGGGAAAGAUGAAAAGCACUUUGGAAAGAGAGUAAAACAGUACGUGAAAUUGUUGAAAGGGAAACGCUUGAAGUCAGUCGCGUCUUCUGGGACUCAGCCUUGCUUCUGCUCGGCGCACUUCCCAGUUUGACGGGUCAGCAUCGGCUCUGGGGGGCGGACAAAGGCGUGGGGAAGGUGGCAGCUCCGGCUGUGUUAUAGCCCCGCGCUACGCGUCCCCCGGGACCGAGGAAUCCGGCGCUCGCGCCUGGGAUGCUGGCGUAAUGGCUUUAAACGACCCGUCUUGAACCACGGAC